This 441-nucleotide ribosomal RNA is filed under the name uncultured bacterium. Its description in RNAcentral is "bacterial SSU rRNA". It matches the Rfam family "Bacterial small subunit ribosomal RNA", at positions 354 to 796 of the family's 1533-position model. The record is from RNAcentral.
GUGAGGAAUAUUGCUCAAUGGGCGAAAGCCUGAAGCAGCGACGCCGCGUGAGGGAUGAAAUCCGUUAGGAUGUAAACCUCUUUUGCAGGGGAUGAAUGUCCCGCUUUGCGGGAUUGACCGUACUCUGCGAAUAAGGAUCGGCCAACUACGUGCCAGCAGCCGCGGUAAUACGUAGGAUCCGAGCGUUGUCCGGAAUUACUGGGUGUAAAGGGUCCGCAGGCGGGUAAACAAGUCGGUGGUGAAAUCCUGUGGCUUAACCACAGAACCGCCUCCGAUACUGUUUAUCUUGAGUACGAGAGAGGAUGAUGGAAUUCAUGGUGUAGCGGUGAAAUGCGUAGAUAUCAUGAAGAACACCGGUUGCGAAGGCGAUCAUCUGGCUCGUUACUGACGCUCAGGGACGAAAGCGUGGGGAGCAAACAGGAUUAGAAACCCCGGUAGUCC